Long non-coding RNA from Homo sapiens (human), 3561 nucleotides. RefSeq lists it as uncharacterized. The record is from RefSeq and is a predicted model, not a curated record. NCBI's taxonomy places the organism in Eukaryota, Metazoa, Chordata, Mammalia, Primates, Hominidae. The transcript has 4 exons.
UUUUCAAUGCAGUCUGUGAUCCUGAUGUGCCUCAAUUCCAGGAUUGAGAGCCUCUGAUGUCAUUCCAGCUCCCUCAGUGGGCUAAACAAUCCAAAUAUUGGAUUUAAGGAGACAGAUGAGAAACUAAAGAAGUUAAACCAAAUCUACUAGUCGUGGAGCUUUUCAGACGAUAGCUCUCCCACCAGCACCCAGGGUCUUACUCUAUCGCCAAGGCUGGAGUGCAGUGGCAUGAUCACAGCUCACUGCAGCUUCGAACUCCUGGAAUUAAGCGAUCUUGUCACCUCAACCUCUGGAGUAGCUGGGACAACAGGCAUGCACCACCGUGCCCAGCUAAUUUUUUUAUUUUUUGUAGGGACAGGGCCUUGCUGUGUUACCCAAGCUGGUCUUGAACUCCUGGGCUCAAGCAAUUAUCUUUCCUCACCUCCCAAAAUAGUGGAAUUACACGUGUGAGCCACUGUGCCCGGCUACAACCAUUACUUUCUAUUUGGCUCCUGGACUGAUGGAAGCUAGGGCACUGCCAAGGGUAUCAGUGGUGAUCCUUACAUGAUAAUUUGGAGAGCCUGAAUUACAUUAAUGCUGUCAUUUAUGGUCUCUUCACUAUGCUAGGUUCUUUAUAUACCUAUAAUCUAUAAGGUUGGUAUUAUUAUCCCUAUUUCAUAGAGAAGGAUACUGAAAUUUAGAGAAGUUAAGAAGUGUGCCCAAGUGGUAGAAUUGGGGUUGAAAGCAGGCUAUCUACCGCCACAGCCUGAGCUUUUCACCAUUAGGACAUACUGCUUGAUACUGUGAAAGUAUCCAGUAUGUGCUUUGCUUUGUUCUCUCUCUUUUUUUUUUUUUUAAAGGUUCGACAUGCACAGACUACAACCCUAAACCUGGCCAGUUUUUUGUCAAUGCGUGACAUUUGGGCAUGGGGGUGGGUAGGGGCAGACAGUACAACAGAGAGUUCAAAUGGAUUGGCUUUAUUUCCAAAACCAGUCCUUGGGGAAAGAUUUCAAGGCACGUCCUACUGAAAGUCAGCAUGCAGAGAUUGUCAUUCCUAGAACAGGGCUGACCCAAAGAACAACAGUGCUACAAGCAAUCUUCACACCAACCCUAUGACGUAGGCAUCAUUAUCCCCCAUUUUACAGAUGAAGAAACUGAGGUUAAGCAAUUUGUCCACACUACUGCUGGUGAAUGACCGAGCCAAGACUUGCACAUACUGGUUCCCUUCCCUGCAUUCCUUUUUAACCAUACUCCACUCUUGCCUUGGGGGACCAAGAUCCGUGAUGGACAUGUUAUUAUAUUAACAAGAAAACAGACUCUUGAAUUUGGACCUCUGAUGAUAGUGACACAGCACAUGCACUAGGGUGUUGGAGACAAGAGAAAAGCCAGGCCCUGCAAACAAGCUUCCAGGUGUUUGCUAACGUUGAGGUGUGCAGUCUUGGUCAAUCAUCAAUCCAGUAACACACUGCCCAGUUAAAGCACUGCUGAGCAGAACAGGAAGCAAAAAGCGUGUCCACAGGCUGCAUUUAGAGCGGCCCUGGCCUGGGUGAGGCAGCUUGCCUCUUAGAAGGAGGAGAGGCAGAGCUCAGUAGGAAACCCCAAGGACCUUCAAGCAGUAAGAGCUGAGACCUGGAAGGUUCUUCCACACUGAGAAGUCAAGACCUCUUCCGUAAGGCACCCUUCUCCAUGGAAGCCUGGGUAAUCCUUAACCCUAACUUGUUUGGGACACUCUUGAGAAGUCAGAAAGACUUGUCUGUGCCUCUCACAGGUAACUGACACAAGUGGUUCUUCACAUGGAGAAGAAUCUUUCUUAAGGGAUAGGUGGGAGUAGGAGAAGAGGGCUGCAAAAUGCCUCCCCCAGGAAUGCCCUUUCAUUUUUGUUUGCAGAGACCACGACCAGGGCAAGCAGCUCAGGUCCUCUGAAACCAGAAUUGGCCGGGUCAGUGCUCCCCUCAGAAACCACACUUGUUUUUCCUCCAGGGAGCCAGGGACUCGAUCACCUGUGACUCACCGUUUCUGUGUUGCCUACACAGCACACACGUCAAGAUCUAAAAUGGCCUCUGCACCCUGUUGCCCUCACCCAUCCUGGCCCCCACUCUGGGAAUGUGUGCAGCUCCACCUUCAGCAUGAAAGUCGGGAAUCUGCGGCUCCUCCCUCCCCUGAAAAACAGAGCAUGACCCAAAGAAUAGAGCUUUCCAUUCUCUACCCUUGCCAGUGUCGUAAUGCUCCUGUUCUCCCAUAAGCCACUCUCUCCUGCACUUGUGUUGCUACAGGAUCAGAACCUAAUCCUAAUUAGAACCUAGUUUUAUUUAUUUUAUUGUUAUUAUUAAUUAUUAUUUUUUGAGACACCCGAGUCUCACUCUGUUGCCCAGGCUGGAGUGCAGUGGUGUGAGCUCACUGCAACCUCUGCCUCCCAGGCUCAAGUGAGCUCCCCACCUCAGCCUCCCGAGUAGCUGGGAUUACAGGUGCAUGCCACCAUUCCUGGCUAAUUUUUGUAUUUUUUUUUUAAUAGAGAUGGUGUUUCGCCCUGUUGUCCAGGCUGGUCUCAAACUUUCUGGCCUCAAGUGAUCCACCUGCCUCAGUCUCCCCAAGUGCUGGAAUUACAGGUAUGAGCCACUGCACCUGGCCUAGAAUCUAGUUUGAUGUAGAAAAUUCAAAUUCAAAUUGUGCAUUCUUCACCAAGUGUGCUAAACUUGCAUCUGGGUGUGGGGCUGUGGUUACGGAUAUAGAAAACUUCAUUUAAUGAGAAUGAUAUUGACAUUUACACGACAACAACAACAAUACUGCAAUUUAUUGACUAUUUUCUAUGGCAAACACUGCAGAGUAUUUCUCAAAUGUUAUCACGCUCAUGCCCCCACCAAGUCUAUUGUUACCGCCCCCAUUUUAUAGAUGAGGAAGAGAUCAUAAGUAGUCGAGUAACCUGCUCAGGCUACACAGCUAUUAAGAGCUGGAGCUGGGAUUUGAACCUGGGCAAUUGUAACUUCAAAGUUGGUGUUUCUCCCUCCCUAAGCAUCGCCCCACCCCAUCUACCAUUUGUGCUGUGAUCUUCGCUGUCAUGGUGUCCCAUGUCUUUCACUGUUCCAGUUCAAGAAGCUUCUCCCCAUCGCCUCCUAUCCACUACAUCCUGACUUGCUAAUGACUCUUCUUGUCAGUACCAAGGGGAUGGUAAGGAGGAAGAGGGGGCUUGUGUCAAAGUGAGGUGCUCUCUAAGUUAAAAAAUUGGCUUUGGAGGCCUUGGGGGGAGGGAUGAAUGAACAUUUUAUCAACACAAAUGUCAUUGGCAAGCCCCAAAACAAACAGUGUCCCACCGGGCUUGCUCCUUUAUGAGGCAUUCAAUCAAUAAAAAGAGAGCAGAACUCUGUCAGAUUUAUUGGCUGGGUUCAAACCGAACACCUCUUCUACCCGCCAAAGGCUGGGUCACCAGCACUACCUCUCCUUUCCGACUCUGGACAGCCCUCAUUUUCCCCUAUGGGGCUACAAUGGUUCAUUGUUUGAGGCAGGCCUUGUGAGAAGUUGUGUUUGUUUUGCCUCUUAUCUUAUCAGCUCCAGAGCGACAAUGGCCCAGGUGUACUCACCAUUUUA